UGCAGCAACUCUUUAAUACAGUUCCUCAUGUUGUGGUGAACCCCCCAGCCAUAAAAUUAUUUUGUUGCUACUUCAUAAUUGUAAUUUUGCUGCUGUUAUGAAUCAUAAUGUAAGUAUAUGAUGUGCGGGAUAUCUGAUAUUCGAUCCUCAAAGGGGUCAUGGCCCACAGGUUGAGAAUCAAUGCUUUAAGAUAAUGAGUACAUUGAGAGUUUGAAACAAGAGGGCUUCAAGUUCAAGGCCUUCAGAUAGAGCUUGGUCCAUUUAGUGAAAAUCUGAUUCAAAUGAAAAGUUCAACAGGAACUGGAGAUAAAGGAAAGGGGUGGUCUUGUAGAGCAAAGGUCUUAUUUUCCUGAUGAAGAUGAUGGAAAGCGACAAGUUUCGAGAGAGUUGUGUUAACUCCUUCAUGGCCUGGUGCACUAAGCACACUGACAAAACUGACUGAAGGGCUGCUAUGAUGCUGAGACUCUGCACAAAAACCAAAUAAACAGAAUUAUAUACAGGGCAACAGUUUCAAAUGUGGCCCCGUGGAGAGUCUGACUCCCAUCAGAAUAAAGAUUAGAGAAAACCUUUCUCAAGAAGACCACUGCAAGGAUCUAUAUGGCCACCAUAUACUCCUCUAUUCAGUGAUUUCUUCGUGUCAGAAUUACGCCUGUCAUCUUAAAUGUCACAGUGACUUCUUUCUCAUUUACACUGUCAUUUGACCCUAGCAUCUGGAUGAUGCCAGCAUUAAAAGAAAAUGGUGACAACAAGAAAACACAAACUUUAAGUAAACACUUCUCAAUGAGAGGUUGGCCUCUGUUUAUUUCUUGUUCUCUACUUCUUUAAAAAAAUUGUUCUGA
Non-coding RNA from Peromyscus maniculatus bairdii (prairie deer mouse), 839 nucleotides. The record is from RefSeq and is a predicted model, not a curated record. NCBI's taxonomy places the organism in Eukaryota, Metazoa, Chordata, Mammalia, Rodentia, Cricetidae.